Molecule: small nuclear RNA, 163 nt
Organism: Camelus dromedarius (Arabian camel)
Lineage: Eukaryota; Metazoa; Chordata; Mammalia; Artiodactyla; Camelidae
Gene: U1
Rfam family: U1 spliceosomal RNA
About the family: U1 is a small nuclear RNA (snRNA) component of the spliceosome (involved in pre-mRNA splicing). Its 5' end forms complementary base pairs with the 5' splice junction, thus defining the 5' donor site of an intron.
Source: Ensembl
GAAUCUGCCUGGCAGGGGAGAUACGUGAUCACAAAGGUGGUUUUCCCAGGGCGAGCCUUAUCCAUCGCACUCCGGACGUGCUGACCCCUGCGAUGUUCCCAAACGCGGGAAACUCGACCGCAUGACUUGUGGCUGUGGGGGACUGAGUUCGCGCUUUCCCCUG